Molecule: long non-coding RNA, 845 nt
Organism: Oncorhynchus keta (chum salmon)
Lineage: Eukaryota; Metazoa; Chordata; Actinopteri; Salmoniformes; Salmonidae
Exons: 4
Source: RefSeq, a predicted model, not a curated record
GUGUGUGUGUGUGUGUGUGCGUGUGUGUGUGUGCGCGCGCGUGUGUGUGUGUGUGUGUCUCAAAGUAGAGGAGAGAUAGACUUUAUCACUACUUGUAUUGAUGAGAGGUAUUGACAUGUUGAAGGCACCGUGCCACCAGAGGUCUGUUUAAACAACUAGCACACAGCUCAGACACACAUUCAAACCCCCACAUGACAUGCAACCAGAGGUCUGUUUAAACAACUAGCACACAGCUCAGACACACAUUCAAACCCCCACAUGACAUGCAACCAGAGGUCUGUUUAAACAACUAGCACACAGCUCAGACACACAUUCAAACCCCCACAUGACAUGCAACCAGAGGUCUGUUUAAACAACUAGCACACAGCUCAGACACACAUUCAAACCCCCACAUGACAUGCCACCAGAGGUCUGUUUAAACAACUAGCACACAGCUCAGACACACAUUCAAACCCCCACAUGACAUGCAACCAGAGGUCUGUUUAAACAACUAGCACACAGCUCAGACACACAUUCAAACCCCCACAUGACAUGCAACCAGAGGUCUGUUUAAACAACUAGCACACAGCUCAGAUACACAUUAAAACCCCCACAUGACAUGCAACCAGAGGUCUGUUUAAACAACUAGCACACAGCUCAGACACACAUUCAAACCCCCACAUGACAUGCAACCAGAGGUCUGUUUAAACAACUAGCACACAGCUCAGACACACAUUCAAACCCCCACAUGACAUGCAACCAGAGGUCUCUUCACAGUCCCCAAGUCCAGAACAGACUAUGGGAAACACACAGUACUACAUAGAGCCAGGGGUACAUGGAACUCUAUUCCACAGUACUACAUAGAG